Molecule: ribosomal RNA, 230 nt
Filed under: uncultured Bacteroidota bacterium
Lineage: Bacteria; Pseudomonadati; Bacteroidota
Description: uncultured Bacteroidetes bacterium partial 16S ribosomal RNA
Rfam family: Bacterial small subunit ribosomal RNA
Source: RNAcentral
CCGGCGCACGGGUGCGUAACGCGUAUGCAAUCUACCUUUUACAGCGGGAUAGCCCAGAGAAAUUUGGAUUAAUACCACAUAGUAUUAUAGGAUGGCAUCAUUUUAUAAUUAAAGUCACAACGGUAAAAGAUGAGCAUGCGUCCCAUUAGCUAGUUGGUAAGGUAACGGCUUACCAAGGCAACGAUGGGUAGGGGUCCUGAGAGGGAGAUCCCCCACACUGGUACUGAGAC